This 245-nucleotide ribosomal RNA is filed under the name uncultured bacterium. RNAcentral's name for it is "partial 16S ribosomal RNA". It matches the Rfam family "Bacterial small subunit ribosomal RNA", at positions 524 to 768 of the family's 1533-position model. The record is from RNAcentral.
UACGAAGGGUGCAAGCGUCGUUCGGAUUUAUUGGGCGUAAAGCGCGCGCAGGCGGAUAGAUAAGUCAGAUGUGAAAUCUCGGGGCUCAACUUCGAAACUGCGUCUGAAACUGUCGAUCUAGAAUGCUGGAGAGGAAAGAGGAAUUUCGCAUGUAGGGGUAAUAUCCGUAGAGAUGCGAAGGAACACCAGAGGCGAAGGCGGCUUUCUGGCCGGCAAUUGACGCUGAGGCGCGAAAGCGUGGGGAG